RNAcentral lists this unclassified non-coding RNA (2350 nucleotides) under Leishmania donovani. RNAcentral describes it as "gene:LdHU3.25.1530(CDS-product:LMBR1-like_membran e_protein_putative)". The record is from RNAcentral. Lineage: Eukaryota; Euglenozoa; Kinetoplastea; Trypanosomatida; Trypanosomatidae.
UUGCUACGUUACACUUCUAGUUUCGUUUGCUGCCUUUGCCUCUCCAUCCCACUCUGCGUCAUCCACUCGGCUCAUCUGCCUUGGCGGCCUCGUUUAGCUGCCGUGCUUCUGUGGCCUCGCGUGCUGCUGCUGCUGCAUCGCUCGGCGCGCGUGUGCGUGUGCCUUCUUGUGACGUGCUUGCUUAAAAGAGGAUAGGUUCGGAGGGAAGGGAGGACGCACGUGCGUGUUUGUCUUUUUGCCUUGUCUCUCUCUGUUUUCUCUUGCCCUUGCUUGCGGCGUCUCGUGCUCGUGCACACACGCACACGCAUACACAGACUGAUUUACAGGGCGCCUUCGCUGGCGUCGACAGCAUCUCCGUCUUUCUCUCAUUGCCUCAUCUCUCUUCUCCACACUUCGCCUUUGUGCCCGUGAGUGCACGCGUCGGGUCUUCUGUACUUAUAGCCUCAGUCAGAGCGCUGCUGCGGCUUCGCCCGCUUCCCGCGCCAUUCUGCCCCUCCCCCACACCCCAACAGCCGUCUUCGUACCCAUCGUCAUGCUCAACUGGUGGCUCAUCGUGCUGAUCGUCCUGGUGGCGCUCGUCUGCGUCGGCCUCACCAUCUACACGUUCAUCUACUUUCAGUCGGAGGAGGACUCGAAGUGGGACUAUGUGCCGAAGGCCGUCGCCGGUCUCGGACUCAUUCUGGCCAUGGGCAGCAUCCUGCUCGUCCCGUACGAUGUCGCGAACUCGCCAGACCCCACCGUCGCGCACAAGUACGUCCAAACUCUCAAUACGCAGCUGAUGUGGGAAAUUGUGCUGUGGAUGAUGGCUGUCAUGGCGGUCGUGGUGUGCCCCUUCUUCAUGUUCUUCUAUGAGGCAUAUGACCCGGAUAAGCCGAGCUUCGGCACACAGGUCUCACACGGCGUCAUCUCUACCGUUAUCAUCGCCUUCCUGUUCGCCCUUAUCGUGGGCCUCUGCUACCACUUUCAGGGCGUCGCAGAUAUCGCAUUCCAGGCCUACAAGGGCAACCCGCAAAUGACCUUGCCGGAGAGCUCUACCAUCAGCUACGUGGGCAACUCGAUCAAGUCAACCAUCACCGUCUCCGUGAGCAUCUACACCUACUGCAUUGGCAUGCUCUGUUUCUUUGGGUGGAUCUUCUUCUUCUUCUACGGCGGCGCCGGUAUUGUUGCCUACCCCAUGAGCCUCAUCCAGAACUUCAAGUCGCGCCCCAAGGCCAUUGGCGCGAGCAGGUUUGCGGAGGAGAUGGCCAUCAUUCUGGCCAAGGCGGACGCCAUGCUGGAACUGUGCAUGGGGCUGCAGCAAGAAAGCCGCGGCAGCAUCUCGCGCUCCACGAAGAACAAGAUCAAUAUCCUGCGCAACGAGGUGUACUUCCUGGAGGCGCAACAGGCGCAGCUCAUUUGGGCAUACACGAAAGCCGGUGGCUCGCCUUUCAUUGUGUAUGGCAAGCUGGCGCUGGGGGUCGUCUGCAUCGUCACGGCGAUCAUGUGGUGCCUGCAGAUUUUCGUCUACAACACCUUCGACGCGGACCCGUUUCUCAACACGCUACUGCUGCGCCUCAACGACGCCUUCGCGUUGUGCGGCGUCUGCGCCUACGGCGUCCUUGCCUUCUACCUCACGUGGUCGACGUUCCAGGGGCAGAUCGCGCUGGGGCUUCGCCUCGUCUUCUUCCAGAUACACCCGAUGAAGAAGCACGACACCCUCGUGAACGCCUUCCUGUUCAAUGUGAGCCUUCUUCUGAUCACCUCCUACGCCGUAAUCUACUUCGUUGUCCACUCCUUCCAGGACUAUGCCACUAUGACCGCCAUCAACGGUCUGAUGAACGUCUUCGUGACGCGUCUGCGCGGCAUCGGCGUGUUUAUUAGGUGGGCGCAGUUCUGCUUUUUGGGCAUGUCGCUGCUGACGUUGAUAUGGAUGGCGGUGUGCCCCAAGAGGAAGAGCCGCGAUCCGACCAAGUUACGGCUGGAUGAUUUGAGCUAACACACGACGUACACACCGAGCACCCCUCCUCCCCCUCUUCUUCCGCUGCUGCGGCUGCUUCAUCCGCCUUCUCCUCCUUUCUGUGUGUCACGAGUGUUUUGCCGUUGCGGGCCAUGCUGCAGAGCGGGAAAGGGAAUGACAGGGCGCCAUGAGUUGGUGCGUGGGUGAGUGCGUGGCGCUGGCCUUCGGCUUGCGGGUGCUUCUCUUGAUUUUUUUCAUUGCUUGCUCGUAUCCGCACAGCAACCAUCAGCGCCCUUCUUUGUCUAUUCCCCUUCUUCCCUCUCUCGCUGUUCUUCGCUUCUGGUGUACUUGCUGUUGCACCCUCCCGCUCCGCGCGCGUCGUCGUCGGUGGGCGUAGGCGCGUUUCACAUGCAC